GCCUAAUUCAAUGAAGCAGGUCAUUGGGAAAGUGGCUUUGAAAGUUAUAAGUUGUUUGGUGUCCACUGUCCUCUUCCUUUUGGGCUUUCCUCUCCUUUCUGCUUCCUGGCUUCCAUGAGAAUCUGUUAAAUGCACCUUGGUGUCAGCGAACAAAAUCUUUUUUUUACUUUAGAGUUGCGUGGAUCAGGAGCUGGAUUUUUUCACAUUUACUUCAUUUACAUAUGCAGUUCUUAACUGUAUGCCUCCCGCUCAGGCUGAAUAGAAACAUAUCUCAUGGCAGCUAUGUCCUGAGCUCUUCACACCUACAAGAAAUGUACAAGAGGAAGCCAAAACAUGGGUUUGGAGAAGAAAUGUACCUACCACACCCAGCAACACCUACAAGUCUGGAUGCCCAGCAACCACAAGAAACAUCCUGUACCACAACAGACCUUUCCCUUCCCAAGUUUCAACCUCCCCCCCUCCAGUCAAAACUUUCCACCCUCCCCCGAUGACCUACCUUCCCCUGAUGACCUCUCUUCCCCUACCCAAACCACCCUAUAAAAGUCUCUUCUUGCCCUGCCAUUGCUGUCACCUGUCUUUUCACUCUUGGCCCACCUACACCUAGGCUGAAAUAAACUCCGUUUGUUGCUUUAACUA
Heterocephalus glaber (naked mole-rat) is the source of this 636-nucleotide long non-coding RNA. NCBI's taxonomy places the organism in Eukaryota, Metazoa, Chordata, Mammalia, Rodentia, Bathyergidae. The record is from Ensembl.